Molecule: ribosomal RNA, 490 nt
Filed under: uncultured bacterium
Lineage: Bacteria
Description: partial 16S ribosomal RNA
Rfam family: Bacterial small subunit ribosomal RNA
Source: RNAcentral
GAUGAACGCUAGCGGCAGGCCUAAUACAUGCAAGUCGAACGGGAUCCAGAUCAAAGCUUGCUUUGGUCUGGUGAGAGUGGCGCACGGGUGCGUAACGCGUGAGCAACCUACCCUUGUCAGGGGGAUAGCCCGGCGAAAGUCGGAUUAAUACCGCAUGACAUCAUUGAGAGGCAUCUUUCGAUGAUCAAAGAUUUAUCGGACAAGGAUGGGCUCGCGUGACAUUAGCUAGUUGGUAAGGUAACGGCUUACCAAGGCUGCGAUGUCUAGGGGCUCUGAGAGGAGAAUCCCCCACACUGGUACUGAGACACGGACCAGACUCCUACGGGAGGCAGCAGUAAGGAAUAUUGGUCAAUGGACGGAAGUCUGAACCAGCCAUGCCGCGUGCAGGAGGACGGCCCUAUGGGUUGUAAACUGCCUUUAUACGGGAACAAACGUCGGUACGUGUACCGGUCUGAGUGUACCGUAAGAAUAAGGAUCGGCUAACUCCGUG